Molecule: ribosomal RNA, 252 nt
Filed under: uncultured microorganism
Description: partial 16S ribosomal RNA
Rfam family: Bacterial small subunit ribosomal RNA
Source: RNAcentral
UACGUAGGUCCCGAGCGUUGUCCGGAUUUAUUGGGCGUAAAGCGAGCGCAGGUGGUUUAAUAAGUCUGAUGUAAAAGGCAGUGGCUCAACCAUUGUGUGCAUUGGAAACUGUUAGACUUGAGUGCAGAAGAGGAGAGUGGAAUUCCAUGUGUAGCGGUGAAAUGCGUAGAUAUAUGGAGGAACACCGGUGGCGAAAGCGGCUCUCUGGACUGUAACUGACACUGAGGCUCGAAAGCGUGGGUAGCAAACAGG